CAGUGGGAGUUUUCUUCUCUGAAGUUUUGAAAUAAACAGACAUGCACUGUUUAUUUCAAAACUUCAGAGAAGAAAACUCCCACUG
Non-coding RNA from Paramuricea clavata, 85 nucleotides. Lineage: Eukaryota; Metazoa; Cnidaria; Anthozoa; Malacalcyonacea; Plexauridae. The record is from the annotation of a GenBank genome assembly.